This is a long non-coding RNA of Varroa destructor (honeybee mite), 1141 nucleotides long. RefSeq lists it as uncharacterized. Lineage: Eukaryota; Metazoa; Arthropoda; Arachnida; Mesostigmata; Varroidae. The record is from RefSeq and is a predicted model, not a curated record.
UUGUACUGAAGUAUUUGUGUGACACCAUGUAUGAUUAAUGUGCACAUCAAGUUUUGUACACAUCUAUUAUAUUAUACGCAUGGUACAUGUAACGGUGACUAUGCUAACGAUGACGCUUAUAUGUAGAGACAGCCGGAACGCUCGGUUGCUGAAGGAUGGUUUUAACUUGAAUGUGUUCUCUCAGGUGCUCCGACCUGGAAAAUGACUGAUCUGCAUGUAAAGUAGUACGAGCAAAACGCCAAAACUGUCUAUAAGUUGAGGACGAUCUAAAUUUACACGAUUCCACACCGCUUCAAUAUAGGAAUACUAAGGAGUUUGUCAUAUCUCGAUGCGCUCGAGAUACGCCGUGUUGCUUGAAAUAAUACGUUUAGCUUCUUCCCUUUUUGGAUUUCUUGAUAUUCUUUUAAAUAGCCAACAAACUUCGGAUGCGACCAAUCACAUCGUGUUAAAUAAAUCAUUAGAAGCGAGAGGCUUAGAAGCUUCAGGACCUUGUCUCGAUGCUUCGUUCGCUUGCUUUUUUUCGACCAACAGGCAUACAUAGUUGCAACAGAACCCCAAACUCGAAGCAGAGCAAUGAAAAGCAGAAUCAAUCGUAGCUGGUGCUGGAAAAAUAGGACAAAAACGAGUCAUCUCGUAACAAACGAAUGAAGGCGCUACUUCGUGUAUUCGAAUAGCAAAGACCUCUUCAAGACAUUCAGGCAAGAAAGUCCCAAGGGAUGUCUCCGUCUAUCCAGAGUAAACUAGAUAUUUUCAGCAAUAAUACAAGCUAGGUAUAGUUCUGUUAUCAAAAUAUGCAUGUCCUGAAAUAAUCACGGGGCACACCGUAAAUAAAGCAGUGUAUGGCAUGCGCUGGCUUACUUACCAAAAAGGAGGUGGCCGUUCGUCUAAAAUGGACAGACGUACUCGAGACACUUCGAUCUAUCACAAAAUUACUACCUAUCGACUGCAUACGGCCCACAUCGAAUAAAAUUUAUUUAUUCACAGACGAUUAACUUGUAUCUCUUAAAUAAAAUUAUUAUAGCUCGGAAAGGUCUACUAAGUGUCACAAACGUAUAGCAGAGUCAUAACGACUUUAUAGAAUCGGCUAAGGUUUGACUGAGUAUAGCCGAACGUACAGAACCAGCUGUUUUAUGUUGCUUUG